AAACUAUAUUUAUUAAAUCGUUAGUUUUCAAUCGUUGGGAGUUUUUUUUCUUGCAUUUGUGUGUAUUUGUUCUAUUUUUCUGAUAUUUAUGUCUGUAAAUGUGACUCAUUCAUUAUUGAUCGACACAAAAAUACAAAUAUCUAUAACAAAUCACGCACAUAACUCAAAACCAAAAGCAAACACACAACCAUAAUUGUAUUCCGAGCUCAUCAAACAUCUGAGUCGAUCUGUAAUACACGGCAUACGCAACUAAUUGGACUAAGCCAAGUACUGUGCAUAACACAAAGGAAACCUGAAGAACAAAGAAAUCAAAUUUCAAUACUGAAAAAUCAAAAUUAGGUAAAUUUAAUGUAAGUGAACUAACAAUUUAAAAGAACAGAAGACUUACAAACAUGAUACGAUCAACCGGCAGUAAAGAGAUGACGGUCCAAACGGUUGCGUUUGCAAACAUUGCAAACCCUACCAAGAACGACAUAUGUUCGACGCUCUUAGUUCUUACAACUUUCACUUGCGUUUAUCAUUAUUUCGUUGUUAAUUUUUUUUCGUAUUAGUAAUGCGAGGAUAUUUAUUAAUCUUUGAUAUUCAUAAACUAAACUUACCAAUACAGACACCGGAGAAAACGCAACAGACGUCCACAAUAACAAAUCACCGAAGACCCAAAGAUUCGAUGAAACCUAAAGCCAACGUGGCAAAUGUAGUUACAGAUACCACCUCGAGUACCAAAAUGAUAAUCACUAAUCGCUGCGUAGAGUGCUUGCAAAAUCUAAUAUAUGCGGCCAAAUAGAUCCCCAUGAUCAAGACUCCAAUCCCAUUAGUGAUGAGGGUAGGAGUCCCAAUAAAAAAAAAGACUUACAAACAUAAUUGGAUCCACAUGUAGUAGAUAGACGAUGGUCCAAACGAUUGCGUUUGCAAUGUUUACAUAUUUAGCUUGUUUUUGUUCCACAUCAUAAAAGUAAUUAAAGAAAUUUUUAUUAAUUAAAGAACAAGUUCUCUCGAAGAUCACGAAGGAGAGAAGAAAGUGCAAUCUUUAUAGAAAUAUGAAAAGAUUAGAUGAUAGUAAAUUAUAAAGAUAUAGAUACAUGCAUAACAUAAGCAAAAUAUAUACAUAACAUAAGCAAAACAUAAGCAUAUUUUGUUUAUGCGCAUAUCACAUUAUAUAGACUUUGUUUAGCAAUGUAAACAUCAUAAAAUUGAUUCAUUAUGUAGAGUAAAUAAGAAGAAGACGGAGAAAGCGGUAAAAAAAGAUAGAUAAGAAAACAUAAGUAUAUGUCUUAAAUAAGAAAUAAUAAAUAUAGGUUAUGGUAGGCCUUGGCAAAAAAACCGUACCUGAAAACUCGAACCGAAACCGAUUCGAAAAACCGGUUUGGGGCGGGUACGUAUAUUAGCUAUUUACCCUAUUGGGUUUUAGAUUGUUGUACCCGUGGAUAUAGGAUAAUAGCCGACCCAAACCCGAUACCCGAAAGGGUAUCAACUUAUCCGAAAUUACAUAUACUUAUUCAUAGAUUUAUACAUAUAAAAAUUUAUUUUAUAUUUAAUAUUUGAACCAAAUACAUUUAUAUCCAAAUAUCCAAUAAUAAUUACUAAAAACUAAAUGUACCUAUAUUUAAAUACUUAAUACUAAAUAUUUUAUAUAUGCAAAAUAUUCGUAAAUGUUUUGGAUAUUUGGACAAAAUUUCGGUUAUUCGGGUAAAAUUCAGAUAUUUGGGUAAAAUUUUCGACUAUUUGGGUAUAAUUUCGGGUAUUUGGGUAAAAUUAUCGACUAUUUGGGUACAAAUUUCGGGUAUUUGGUACAAUUUCGGGUAUUUGGGUAAAUUUUUGGGUAUUUGGAUAUAAAAUACAUGAAUCCGAAGGAUACCCGUUUUUUUCGAGUAUUUAACGGUUCUAAAAUUCUAUACCCGAACCAACCCAAACCCGAUUAGAACCGAACCACCGAAGUUUUCUAUUUACUCUAUUGGAUUCUAGAACAGUAUACCCGUACCCGAUCGGGUAUUACCCGAACCGACCCGCAUACCCGAAUACCCGGCCCUACGUUAUGGCUAUAAGUGUAUUUACUAUACAGAAAACGUUAAUCCAAACAAAGAAUAUGGAAAGCAUGCAUAUCUAUGUAGACUAAUGUUAAGGCUAUUACAAUUGGCAACCGAAAAUUUCGUGUUAAGUUGUAAUUUAGUAUACGUACAAAAUCUAAAAGUACAAUAGCUUUG
This 2201-nucleotide small RNA is filed under the name Arabidopsis thaliana (thale cress). Its description in RNAcentral is "ATSL227830". Lineage: Eukaryota; Viridiplantae; Streptophyta; Magnoliopsida; Brassicales; Brassicaceae. The record is from RNAcentral.